AUGGAUGGAUGGAUGGAUAGAUUGAUGGAUGGAUAGAUGGAUAGAUGUUGAUGUUGUUCUAUUGGAAAGAAAGGAAGAAAGACAGCUGAACAUCUUCCCUACAUCUUUUACACAUUUCUGGGGGGAAAGUGGAUAGAUAGAUAGAUGGAUGGAUGGAUGGAUCUGGUUCUGAUUGGUUUUCAGGCUCCUAGAUUUUGUUCCACAGGAAGAAAGGAAGAAAGACAGCUUAACAUCUUCCCUACAUCUAUUACACAUUAUUGGGGGAAAAUAGAUAGAUAGAUAGAUAGAUAGAUAGAUAGAUAGAUAGAUAGAUAGAUAGAGCUUGAUUGGUUCUGAUUGGUUCUCAGACUCCCAGAUUUUGUUCCACAGGAAGAAAGGAAAAAAGACAGCUGAACAUCUUCCCUACAUCUAUCACACUUCUGGGGGAAAGUGGGCUUUUGGAGGGAUGGAUGGAUGGAUUGAUGGAUAGAUGAUGGAUGGAUAGAUGGGUGGCUGGAAUGUAACUAACGAUUCAAGGCAGGUUGUUGGUGGCUGUUAUUUGGGCUUUAAUUGCUUUAAAAUUUUAAUAAAUACAAAAAUCUUAUGUAAUCUGAUUCUGUGAGACUCUAAACUGAGUGGGCAGAUGUAGAUUAGCAUGGUAGUGUUUCUAUACUUCUAUACAGUCAGUUGUGUGUAUUCUGUUCAUUCAGGGAUUAGAUGUUGAAAUCAACUUGCCCUAAUUCACUAGAGUUUAUGGGUUUGUGAAAGUGCUCACGAAGGCCCGUUAAACCUGCGCGAGCUUUACGCCAGGCGCCAACGUCGUAAACAGUGUAGCGAGUCUCAGACUUUAUGAGGAAAAUAUGAAGCUGACAGAGAGAGAGGCUACAUGUUUGUUGGGGUAGAAAUGAGGUGAAGGCCAUUGUUAUCUUACUUUUAUGUGUUCUUUCUUCAUAUCUUACACUGUACGGACAAAAGUAUUGGGACACCUACUAAGAGAAGACCAAGGGCUCUAUUGUACACCCUGCGAAAGGCUCGUUGUGAUGCUCAUUGCUAUUUUACACCCCAUCAACUCCCCCCCCGUCCCUUUUAGUGCCUUGCACCUGCGCUGUUAAAGUAGCGUCAGAGUUUAGGAAUAAAUCUAAACUGAUGGUUUGGUGUCUGAUGGGUCUGGAAAAUGAGGUGUGUUCAGAUAUAUAUUUGGCGUGUUUCAAACUUGCCGGCAGGAAACACAGAUGCGCCACUGACUGAUUAAAACCCUGACAACAGUCAACAGUCAGCCGCUCAAUCCUAUCUCAGCUAUGCUGAAGCAAUGUGCGCAUUGUGUGCCCUCAGCACAUAUAAAUACUCAGCUUUUACCUCAACAAUCCAGCUUUUACCUCAACAAUAAACAGAAUAAAGAAACAGCAGCCCUUAAAUGAGCUGCUGGUGUAUCUUCUAAGCCUGAAAGCGCAGGUCAGUAUCCACUGCUAAGACGCACAAAAGCACUGCACUGUUAAGAUACGAACGCGCCAAGGUGAAAACUCACCUGGCUCCUAAAGGAAAUGACUCACUAACUGGUUUAUUUCCACCAUCAUUCCAUCAUUUCCACCAUCAUGGCUGGCUUUAUUCUCCUCUAUAUAGCCAACACCUGGCAUUAGGCAUGGUGCCAAUAAGUUCAUGUCUCUGCAUCUGUUCCAGAAAGUACUGUUAUUUUGGUAGUACUUCUGUACAGAGACUAGACAAGCUGUAUGUGUGCAUUUGCACAUCUAUAUCAGCAGCAGGUGCCACUAAAAGAAGGUGCCAUUCUUCAGAAGGGGUGUCCUGGUGUUGUCCAACAACGCUACCACAGUUUUAGCAUGGCAGUACAGAACUGGCAGGGAGUGUGGGAGAGAGCCGGCAAGCAUAGAAAACAUAGCAAAGCAUUUUACAAACUCUUUCACAGUGUUAGCAUGGUAGCCACCAGCCUAUUCCAGCACUGCUAUAGCAUCAUUAGCACACUAGCUACCAUCAAUCUACCAACAUCACUACUGAGGCAUUAGCACAUUGGCUGCUGCACAUAUCCACCAUUAGAACAUUGCAGAUCAUCCUUGGACUACAUCACUACUCCAGCAUUAGCACUUUUACUACCAUCCUUGGUCUACAUAACUACUACAUUAUUAGCACUCUUAGAAAAAUAAACUAGCCUGUUUCAUAAGCUUUUCAUAACGAACUUUGCGGAUAAGCCCCCAGAACAGUUACUCCCGUGCACAGAACCAUUGUGCCUGGUGUCAAAUUGUCACCAUAAACUAACCAAUAGAAAUGCAUUAUUAAAAAAAAAUACUAGAAAUACAAUUUAGACAGUUUUUUUCCUAUAUAUUUCUGAAAUAAACGGUUUUUACAUGAUACUGACAAAAGUCUGGCCUUUGUCAGUGUACAGUACAUUAAUAGAGACAGCUACUGCUACUGUAUGAGAAGAGAGAAAGAGCGAGGGAGAGAGAGGGAGAGAGAGAGAGAGAGAGAGGGCGGGAAACGAGUGCAGCCUAGUUUGCCAUUUUUUUGGCACCCGUUUCCGUGAGCUCUGUGUAGAAGGUGCCAGAAGCUCAUCUCUGCCAACCUCUCUCCCUCUGAUCCUUUCUUUCUCUCCCGCCUUUUCUCCUUUCACCCAUUCUCUCCGUCUUUCUCGAGGGGCUCAACCCCGGCCUCACCCCCGCCGCCUCGACGCGCCCAUGUCUUUCUGAUGCAACAAUUAAUGCUUCUUAAGAAUGAAGGAAAAAGCAACUAUGUACACAGCUAUCAAAGCAAGAAAACACAUUUCCCUUUGUUUUCGGGUUCACAAUGCUUUCAUAGAAAACGUGAAACAUUCAUAUGUGUAACAUUCAUCAUUGUGUUGAAUUUUAUUGUGUUAAUAGAUAGCAUUUUAUAACACUUAAAAAUUAUAGCACUGAGUAUUUGGCAACUGAAAUUAUUCGGCUCAAAAUGGCAAAAAGCACGUUCAAUAUUCAGCUAAAUAAAAAAAGUAUCAAAAACUUUCUGCAUACAAGAUUACCUAAAUACAAUUACUUAAUUUAUACAAUAUUACUCAAAUAAUUUAUGAUACAAAAUAUAUUAUAAUUGCUAAAAUUUAAAUAUUUUAGUUAAAACACACAUAUUACACUGUCUCAACAAAUUUAUUUAGUAUACUACAAAUAAUAUAUUACAUGCUAUCCAUGUGUUGAGACCGUGAGACUUGUUCUGUUUACAAAACAAAUCUUUAAGAUUAUGUAAAUAUUUGAAUGUAUGUUUUAACUAAACAUUUAAUUGCAGGAAUUAUAUUGUAGUAUUGUAUAAAUUAAGUAAUUGUAAUUAGGUAAUAUUGUAUGCAGAAAUGAAGUAAAGUUUACUAAAAGAAAGGAUUGAUUCAGUAAAAAUAAAUGAAGUAAAGUUUACUAAAGGAAAGGAUUGAUUCAGUAAAAAUAAAUGAAGUAAAGUUUACUAAAAGAAAGGAUUGAUUCAGUAAAAAUAAAUGAAGUAAAGUUUACUAAAAGAAAGGAUUGAUUCAGUAAAAAUAAAUGAAGUAAAGUUUACUAAAAGAAAGGAUUGAUUCAGUAAAAAUAAAUGAAGUAAAGUUUAAUAAAAGAAAGGAUUGAUUCAGUAAAAAUAAAUGAAGUAAAGUUUACUAAAAGAAAGGACUGACUGAAGUUCAGUUCACUUAUUUACUCUGUGUAACAUUUAAGUUUUGAAACUGAGUUGAAGUUACUUACAUUUGUCUGAAAUUAAAUUUACUUAAAAAAAGCAAAUGCAGAAAGUUGCCAAACUUUUUUUAAGUACAUUUUACGCGUCAUUUUUCCAGUGCAGGCAGGGAGUUUGGAAGAGAGCAUUAAGAGCAAGGUGAGCAAACAAACGGCAGGUUUAAGUUCAUUUUUGCUCUACUCACAUCAAUAGAAUUUAUGUAAUCAAGUGUUUACCUUAUCACACUCAUCACACUUAUCACACUUCAUGAGAUAUGAGAUGAGGUAAGAUUAGCUCAAUACUUGGGGCUGUAUACUCUUCUAGACAGUGUUUAGCAUUGGGCAUGGUGUACCAUUGUAUUGAUGGAGAAAAAAUAUUAGUUUUGAAGAUAUAUGGAAACAUAUGCAGGGAGAGAAGAGUGGUAAGGCAUUUGCUGAAGCUGAGGUGAGUGUGUGUGUGUUUGUGUGUGUGUGUGUGUGUGUGUGUGUGUAGUCAUAGACAACACUUUGUUAAGAAGAGCAGAAAAGCAGAGAGGGAAUCAGUGCUAGCUGGUGUCUGUGUGAAGAAACGAACCGAGAAACGGAUUUAGGCCACUAGAAUCUGUGUGAAAAACACAGUGAUGAUAAAGAGGAGGAGUAGGAGGACGAGGAGGAGGGGGUGGAGGAGUAAAAGGAAGGAUAGCAUGUUAGGAAGCUAAAGUGUGUGUGUGUGUUUAUUUCUGUAAUAUUAGUUUUAAGCGAAAUCUUGGCUUUGCAGUAAAUUACAGCCAAUGAAAACCAAAAAAUCAGUGUCUCAGAAUAAUUAUUAGAAUAUUAUAUAAGACCAAUUGGUACUUUUGGCAGUGUGGGCAGUGUGCCAAGUCCUGCUGAAAAAUGAAAUCCACAUCUCCAUGAAAGUUGUCAGUAGCAGAGGGAAGCAUGAAGUGCUGUAAUAUUUUGACUUUAGACUGGAUAAUAAAACACAGUGGAUCAACACCAGCAGAUGACAGACAUGACUCUUCAUCCAUCACUGAUUGGUGGAAACUUCACACUAGACCUCGAGCAGUUUGGACUGUGUGUCUCUCCACUCUUCCUCCAGACUCUGAUCCUUUAAUUUCCAAAUUAAAUGUAAAAUUUUAUAAUGAUGAUCAGUGAUGGUUUGGAGAGACAUGUCAUCUGCUGCUGUUGAUCCACUGUGUUUUAUUAUCAAGACUAAAGUCAGUGCAGUAUUUUCCUGGAAAGUGGAGAUGGGGAUUUCAUUUUCCAGCAGGAUUUGGACUAUGAUCUAUACAUCUACACACCGACAGUGGGUAUCAGUGAAUGGAUCAAUGAGUACAUGAUGGUGGUAGAUCCCAAUGGAAGGAAAGGCUAAGGUAUGCAAUUAUAAGCUGAUUUAAGUCAAAAAUCUUAAAGAUCUCCGUUUAAAUAUAUAUGUAGCCGCAAAUGUUCACCAACUUAAAACCUAAUUUAAUUUUAUACUAAUUGUUUGUUACAAACAAGCUGAAAAUGCUGCUGAAGUUCAUUCAUCCGUCCUUCUUCCAAAUCAUUUACUGAAUUUACACCCAGCCAAGGCGUCACUGGAGGAAUUAGCGGCUAGUUUGCACCCAAGUCCCACUGGCACACACUUACACACACACACACACACACACUUCCUGAUAAACUGGCACUAUCAUCUGGACUCUAUAACACAGAGCGGGAAUGCCAUCAUACGUUAACCUGGCAAUCUGAGGCCUAGGCCUGGACUCCAGACGGAAUGUCUGACACACACACACACACAUAUAUUUUUGUACAGUAUGCAAUACACUGAUAUCCCAAAAGUAAUACCACAGAUGGACAGCUUGAGUUAUAAGUUAUGAGGUGAUAUCUUGUGAUUAAGGUUCACACAUUUCUUUGCGUGGCGCCAUAGAAGAACGACUUUUGUUUCCAUAAACAACCAUGUUUAUGUUUUAAUAUAAACUUCAUGAAUAGUAAUCAGCAGUCAGG
Molecule: long non-coding RNA, 5606 nt
Organism: Astyanax mexicanus (Mexican tetra)
Lineage: Eukaryota; Metazoa; Chordata; Actinopteri; Characiformes; Acestrorhamphidae
Exons: 2
Source: RefSeq, a predicted model, not a curated record